UAGGGAAUCUUCCACAAUGGGCGAAAGCCUGAUGGAGCAAUACCGCGUGAGUGAAGAAGGGUUUCGGCUCGUAAAACUCUGUUGUUGGAGAAGAACGUAUGUGAUAGUAACUGAUCAUGUAGUGACGGUAUCCAACCAGAAAGCCACGGCUAACUACGUGCCAGCAGCCGCGGUAAUACGUAGGUGGCAAGCGUUAUCCGGAUUUAUUGGGCGUAAAGCGAGCGCAGGCGGUUUUUUAAGUCUGAUGUGAAAGCCCUUGGCUCAACCAAGGAAGUGCAUCGGAAACUGGAAAACUUGAGUGCAGAAGAGGACAGUGGAACUCCAUGUGUAGCGGUGAAAUGCGUAGAUAUAUGGAAGAACACCAGUGGCGAAGGCGGCUGUCUGGUCUGUAACUGACGCUGAGGCUCGAAAGCAUGGGUAGCGAACAGG
Molecule: ribosomal RNA, 429 nt
Filed under: uncultured bacterium
Lineage: Bacteria
Description: bacterial SSU rRNA
Rfam family: Bacterial small subunit ribosomal RNA
Source: RNAcentral